CUUCCAGUAGCACCUUAGAGACCAACUAAGUUUGUUAUUGGUAUGAACUUUCGUAUGCAUGCCCACUUCUUCAGAUACCACAUGAAGUACCUGAAGAAGUGUGCAUGCACACGAAAGCUCAUACCAGUAACAAACUCAGUUGGUCUCUAAGGUGCUACUGGAAG
Molecule: non-coding RNA, 164 nt
Organism: Podarcis lilfordi (Lilford's wall lizard)
Lineage: Eukaryota; Metazoa; Chordata; Lepidosauria; Squamata; Lacertidae
Source: the annotation of a GenBank genome assembly